GAUAAUUAAGCCCUUCCAAUUCUGAAUCAAAAGACACCCGAUCGGUUUUCUCUUAUAUGUGGGUUGUCUAUUACGUUGCUUAUCUAUUCUAGCCUUCUUCUCAGUUUUCUGUAGUGCUCAAUGCUCGUCUAUUAACUGCUCCAAUACUUGAAACUUCAUGAAGCCGCGGGUUGUUACUUAAUGACAUGUUACCCUAUUAACAGAAUUUGCAUUAUAGUGAACAUAGUGGAAACAAGGAAAUAGGAUCUCCAUAAUUUGGUUCUGUGGUUUGCUAUAAAAUCUGAGCCUGAGAGGCUUUGGAUUAUUCCUUACUCCGGUUCGGAGUAGGACAAUCCCAGGUUCGAUUCCCUCCAAUGUAACAGAAAAAUGUAAAAUUGGGGCACCAAAUUUUCGAUGCUACAAGGAUUCUGGCACUGUGGCCACAUUUCCUGCAGAGUUUAGCAGACGCAGAUUUUGACUUCGGGCUGGUGGCUGAAUUUUGGUCUGAAUCCUCCUUUUAUGUCAUUUGUAGAAAAGAAAUUAGUGAAUUUUUAUUCAUCUAUUUGAUUGAAAAUGUUUUUUUUUUAUAAUGAAAUUAGUCAGCGCACUUAACAGGCUAAACUGUGGUGGGCAUACCUCAAACGUCAUUUAUUUUAUUUUUUUUCCCUUUAUUUUUUCGUGUAAGAUUCAUUGGAAAGAUAUUCAUCGAAAUGUGUCCAGUCCAGACACCCAGUUUUAAACUGGGUGUUGACUAUCUUUCCAAUGAUGACAUUUCGAUGAGUAUAGAGGCAAAAAAAAAAAAAAAACUGGGUUUUUUUUUGGUGCCAGACACCCAGUUUUUUCGCCUUUAUACUCAUCGAAAUUCUAUUUUUCACCCAUAAAAAGCCCAGUUUAAAACAUAAAUACGAACUAGGUUAUUUUGUCCAGAACAGAACAUAUACUCAGAUUUCAUCAACAUCCAUCUCAUUCUUUGGCAUUCAGUUCUAAUCAGCUUUAAACACCAAAACAGUCCCAAAUUUAAGAUAAAACAAACUUAUAAUUAUCCAACACACCCAACUACCAAGGCCACAAACUUGAAAGUAGAUUCUUCACCUACUGUAUUUGCAUGUCAUCAAAUAACAUCCGAAAUCACUUAUACAAUCUCACUUCAAUCAAUGUACACUGUACUAAAAUUCCAGCAGCAAGUAUGGCAAACAAAUCCUACCUUAACAGCUCCAAAGUAAUCCUCAACCUUCAAUGAGCUGCCUAGUAGUCACUAACUCAGAAAGAGAAAAUUUUCGAAACUUAACCAAAUCCAAGAAUGGUUUACCUUAUCUUGUAGAGCUCGUUCAUACGAUCCUAAAGGCGAAAGCAGCGCAAGAAUUGGAGUUGUAGAAUGAAAGUUAUGGUAGAAAGAAGUUUGAAGGAGAAAGAAGGGAGAGAAUGGGUUUGUGGAAAGAGAGUCGUGAAGUAGGAGCUGAACUGGAACCUCA
This 1451-nucleotide long non-coding RNA is filed under the name Prunus persica (peach). RNAcentral's name for it is "long non-coding RNA (PPER_LNC002617)". Lineage: Eukaryota; Viridiplantae; Streptophyta; Magnoliopsida; Rosales; Rosaceae. The record is from RNAcentral.